CGGGUGAGUAACACGUAUCCAACCUGCCGUCUACUCUUGGCCAGCCUUCUGAAAGGAAGAUUAAUCCAGGAUGGCAUCAUGAGUUCACAUGUCCGCAUGAUUAAAGGUAUUUUUCGGUGGACGAUGGGGAUGCGUUCCAUUAGAUAGUAGGCGGGGUAACGGCCCACCUAGUCUUCGAUGGAUAGGGGUUCUGAGAGGAAGGUCCCCCACAUUGGAGCUGAGACACGGUCCAA
This 233-nucleotide ribosomal RNA is filed under the name uncultured bacterium. Its description in RNAcentral is "partial 16S ribosomal RNA". It matches the Rfam family "Bacterial small subunit ribosomal RNA", at positions 103 to 334 of the family's 1533-position model. The record is from RNAcentral.